AUUUUCUUGUAUUAUUUAUGGUGCAUAAGUUGUAAAUGUAUUCAAACAAACUCGGUGAGGAAAAUGCUAAAGAAAAAUGCUACCAUACUAAGAUGCUUAUGAAAAUGAUUCCGUUUAUUGUAUUCGAUUAGUUACACAUCUGUGACGACAACACCACUAAAACAAAUGAAGGAUUGGCAAAUUGGAAACAUAAGGGGUUGCGUUACACAACAUCUCAGGGCGUUCUUUGCUGGAAAAAAGAUGGUCAGCUGUUAAUACGCGAGUGCGAUACCAACUCUGGUCAUUGGCUUCCAAAAGCAGUAGAGUGCAACGAGAAAAAAAAUAAAAAUGUAUUUUGUCCGGAUAACCUCUUUGAAAUUCAACAAAAUGAUGAUGACCCGAUUUGUUUAAAAAUUUCAACUCUGC
RNAcentral lists this long non-coding RNA (405 nucleotides) under Drosophila guanche. The record is from RNAcentral. Lineage: Eukaryota; Metazoa; Arthropoda; Insecta; Diptera; Drosophilidae.